Prinia subflava (tawny-flanked prinia) is the source of this 631-nucleotide long non-coding RNA. RefSeq lists it as uncharacterized. The record is from RefSeq and is a predicted model, not a curated record. The transcript is spliced from 3 exons. NCBI's taxonomy places the organism in Eukaryota, Metazoa, Chordata, Aves, Passeriformes, Cisticolidae.
CCCCGCCCACCCGUGCGCUGCGCGCGCUGAACCCGCCUCCCCCGCAUGUCUGUGACGUCAUCAGGCUGUGCCCGUUCUUUCCGCCAUGGCCGCGGCGGCAGCAGGCGUCCUGCUCCGAGCUUCCAGAAGGCUUCAGGAAGCCACCAGGAAGAGGGAAAUGGAUUCAAGGGACCUGCCGCCGUAAUUAGCCCAGUUCUGGUUAAUUAUGGCUACCAAGGCCUCGGCCCCUCAUCUCGCAGGGCUGAAUUUCGUGGGAAUGCCGUGACCUGAGACAUGGAGCUCCAUGGCAGGGUUUAUCUGCAGACACCUCCUGCCCAGGCUCCCUCCGUGGUGAUCCAGAGCAAAUCAGUGAUCCACCGGGCAGGAGAAAGUGGUUGCAACGCUGCUGUCACUGUAAUUAACCCAGUUCUGGCUAAUUAACGCUGCCAGCUCGAGGUGUGUGCUGGGUGUCCCUGCCGAGGCCUGCGCUCAUCCCGCCCUUCCCGGGCCAGGGAUUCUCCAGUGCCUGUGGAUGGCAGGAGAAGCUGGAGCAGCGUGGCACAGUCCCUGUGGAACAGCGAGGAGGACACAGCAACACCACAAUCAGGGAAUUAAACAUGAACCCAUGGCUUUGCCGUGUUUUGAUUCCAAA